UACGAAGGGGGCUAGCGUUGCUCGGAAUCACUGGGCGUAAAGCGCACGUAGGCGGGUCUUUAAGUCAGGGGUGAAAUCCCGGAGCUCAACUCCGGAACUGCCUUUGAUACUGGAGAUCUUGAGUCCGGGAGAGGUGAGUGGAACUCCGAGUGUAGAGGUGAAAUUCGUAGAUAUUCGGAAGAACACCAGUGGCGAAGGCGGCUCACUGGCCCGGUACUGACGCUGAGGUGCGAAAGCGUGGGGAGCAACAGG
RNAcentral lists this ribosomal RNA (252 nucleotides) under uncultured bacterium. RNAcentral describes it as "partial 16S ribosomal RNA". It matches the Rfam family "Bacterial small subunit ribosomal RNA", at positions 524 to 775 of the family's 1533-position model. The record is from RNAcentral.